AGGGGCUUAGGAUAGCAUGAGUCCAAGAGCCUUCAAAGCCCUAAGCGGGUGUGAAAAUCCCCCAGCCCCUG
Molecule: transfer RNA, 71 nt
Filed under: Tetragonurus cuvieri
Lineage: Eukaryota; Metazoa; Chordata; Actinopteri; Scombriformes; Tetragonuridae
Description: tRNA-Trp
Rfam family: tRNA
About the family: Transfer RNA (tRNA) molecules are approximately 80 nucleotides in length. Their secondary structure includes four short double-helical elements and three loops (D, anti-codon, and T loops).
Source: RNAcentral